Molecule: long non-coding RNA, 1181 nt
Organism: Astyanax mexicanus (Mexican tetra)
Lineage: Eukaryota; Metazoa; Chordata; Actinopteri; Characiformes; Acestrorhamphidae
Exons: 4
Source: RefSeq, a predicted model, not a curated record
AAAAUAAAUUGAUUGUUCAAAAAGAAAACAAAGCAGUAAGUUACCGAGUACAUAAUUCAUUUAUUUUCUGUGUUUUUUGCAAGAAAGUCACUUAAAAGCGAUUAAGGGAGCAAUUCAAGGAGAAGUGCAAAGGUGAGGGGUGGAGUAGAGGAUUGGAAGGGGACCAGCUCCGAGAGAGGAGAGAGAGAACGGCAGCGACCCACGGGAGGGGAGAGGCGAGGAGGAAAAAUGUCCUCACAGGGUGAACUAAAUUCACUGACAAUCAGUAUUAAUUGCCUAACCGGUAUUUUUAAGGACACUUAUGUCUAUACUGAAAGAGUGCUGGUGGAUAAAGCUGUAAUAAUCUCUCUAAGCAAGUUCUGUUAGCCCUGUUAGCUUAGCCAGCUCGGCUGGGUAUGUUUAGCAUCUUGUAUUAGCCUACUCUGCGCUAGCCGUGAACUUUUCGCUGCAGCGCCGCUCCGAGAGACUGUUCCCUGGACUGACUGACUCGUGCUUUCGCCGCCUUCACUGGACACCAGAACCGCUAACACUGCUACCCAGUCCCCCCGUGGCUCAAAGUUCCUCUGGCUCCGAGGGAAAACGCUCCGUGCUGCAGGACCACGCGCUCAGCUCUCGCUCAUAUUCACAGACUCUGAGGGUAAAACCCUCCAGCUCCUGGAACACCACCAGCACCACCUAAACCAGCUCCAGCACCUAAAAACAUCAACCAGUACUAGUAUGUAUUGCAGAUGUAUUGCCAGAGAAUAAAACCUGACAAAAACAAGAUUCGCAUCAGAUCUAUGUGUGUUAUCUUACCUCCUGCUCCAGGGGUAAGGUACUCCAGCUCUUGGAACACCACCAGCACCACCUAAACCAGCUCCUGGUACACCACCUAAACCAGCUCCUGCACCUAAAAACAUCAAUCAUUAAUUAUUACUAAGUGAAUGAAUACUGAUGUUUUAUCACAGCUAAGCUUUAAUAAGUUAUUAAUGAUAAAAUAUUAACACUCACCGUAUUUAGCUGCCUUGGCCUGAGCUGGUGUUAGACCACCGAGUCCUGGAGAAGAAAGUGUUUAUUAUUAGUAUUUAACAUUUAUGCAAAAAAUAAAUAAAUACAUAAAUAAAUACAAUUGUAAAUUUGAUGUAUUAACAUUACAUUUAAGGUUAUUUCAUUAUUAAAAUUAUAUAUAUUUUUCGUUGUAA